This 465-nucleotide ribosomal RNA is filed under the name uncultured bacterium. RNAcentral describes it as "partial 16S ribosomal RNA". It matches the Rfam family "Bacterial small subunit ribosomal RNA", at positions 28 to 507 of the family's 1533-position model. The record is from RNAcentral.
GACGAACGCUGGCGGCGUGCUUAACACAUGCAAGUCGAACGGAAAGGCCCUGCUUGCAGGGUACUCGAGUGGCGAACGGGUGAGUAACACGUGGGUGAUCUGCCCUGCACUUCGGGAUAAGCCUGGGAAACUGGGUCUAAUACCGGCUAGGAGCCAUUUUUAGUGUGAUGGUUGGAAAGUUUUUUCGGUGUAGGAUGAGCUCGCGGCCUAUCAGCUUGUUGGUGGGGUAAUGGCCUACCAAGGCGGCGACGGGUAGCCGGCCUGAGAGGGUGGACGGCCACAUUGGGACUGAGAGACGGCCCAGACUCCUACGGGAGGGAGCAGGGGGGAAUAUUGCACAAUGGGCGCAAGCCUGAUGCAGCGACGCCGCGUGGGGGAUGACGGCCUUCGGGUUGUAAACUCCUUUCGCUAGGGACGAAGCUUUUUGUGACGGUACCUAGAUAAGAAGCACCGGCUAACUACGUG